Molecule: ribosomal RNA, 353 nt
Filed under: Cryptosporidium sp. 'opossum genotype II'
Lineage: Eukaryota; Apicomplexa; Conoidasida; Eucoccidiorida; Cryptosporidiidae
Description: SSU rRNA
Rfam family: Eukaryotic small subunit ribosomal RNA
Source: RNAcentral
GUGACAAGAAAUAACAAUACAGGACUUUAAAGUUUUGUAAUUGGAAUGAGUUAAGUAUAAACCCCUUUACAAGUAUCAAUUGGAGGGCAAGUCUGGUGCCAGCAGCCGCGGUAAUUCCAGCUCCAAUAGCGUAUAUUAAAGUUGUUGCAGUUAAAAAGCUCGUAGUUGGAUUUCUGUUAAUAAUUUUUAUGUAUGCAAUAUAUAGUUAAAAAUAUGUAUUGUUGUAUGUAAUAUUAACAUAAUUCAUAUUACUAUAUGGUGGAUUGGUGAAGUUUUUUACUUUUUUCCAGUCACACCGGGAAUUAUGGUAUAUGAAAUUUUACUUUGAGAAAAUUAGAGUGCUUAAAGCAGGA